ACAGGGGGGGCAAGCGUUGUUCGGAAUUACUGGGCGUAAAGGGUCUGUAGGUGGCCAACUAAGUCAGACGUGAAAUCCCUCAGCUUAACUGGGGAACUGCGUCUGAUACUGGAUGGCUUGAGUGUGGGAGAGGAAUGCGGAAUUCCAGGUGUAGCGGUGAAAUGCGUAGAUAUCAUUUGGAACGCCAAUGGUGAAAACAGGUUGCUGGGAGUGUGCUGACGCUGAGACACGAAAGCCAGGGGAGCGAACGGGA
Molecule: ribosomal RNA, 253 nt
Filed under: uncultured prokaryote
Description: partial 16S ribosomal RNA
Rfam family: Bacterial small subunit ribosomal RNA
Source: RNAcentral